This 250-nucleotide long non-coding RNA is filed under the name Lathyrus oleraceus (garden pea). RNAcentral's name for it is "Pisum sativum (pea) long non-coding RNA (PSAT_LNC013639)". Lineage: Eukaryota; Viridiplantae; Streptophyta; Magnoliopsida; Fabales; Fabaceae. The record is from RNAcentral.
AAGGAAAAACGAAAAAAGAAACAUUGCCAUUUUUUUGGUAAAAAGUAAAAAAAACUGAAAGAAAGAGAACACAAAAUUGUUUGCAAAAGCCGUCCUUUAUUGAUGAUAAAAAUAAUUGUGAAACGUAACUAAAUGGAUGGCCCUACAAAUGAGCCGUUACACCUUGGGCAAAGUGUAAGACUUUGUUAUGCAUGUAAUAAAGGAAAACAAUAAAAAUCACUCUUUCAGUAGAAUAACCCGAACGGUUUUU